UUGGGGGUGCCCGAAGGACUGCCUCGCGCAGUACUACGGCAAAUUCAAUGACAAGGACUAAGUCGUAACAAGGCACGGGUAGCGGAAGCUGUUCGUGGAACAUAUCCAAA
RNAcentral lists this ribosomal RNA (110 nucleotides) under bacterium. Its description in RNAcentral is "partial 16S ribosomal RNA". It matches the Rfam family "Bacterial small subunit ribosomal RNA", at positions 1411 to 1533 of the family's 1533-position model. The record is from RNAcentral.